This 426-nucleotide ribosomal RNA is filed under the name Actinomycetes bacterium. RNAcentral's name for it is "Actinobacteria bacterium partial 16S ribosomal RNA". It matches the Rfam family "Bacterial small subunit ribosomal RNA", at positions 355 to 776 of the family's 1533-position model. The record is from RNAcentral. Lineage: Bacteria; Bacillati; Actinomycetota; Actinomycetes.
UAGGGAAUCUUCCGCAAUGGGCGAAAGCCUGACGGAGCAACGCCGCGUGAGUGAUGAAGGUCUUCGGAUCGUAAAACUCUGUUAUUAGGGAAGAACAAAUGUGUAAGUAACUAUGCACGUCUUGACGGUACCUAAUCAGAAAGCCACGGCUAACUACGUGCCAGCAGCCGCGGUAAUACGUAGGUGGCAAGCGUUAUCCGGAAUUAUUGGGCGUAAAGCGCGCGUAGGCGGUUUUUUAAGUCUGAUGUGAAAGCCCACGGCUCAACCGUGGAGGGUCAUUGGAAACAGGAAGACAUGAGUGCAGAGGAAAGUGGAAUUCCAUGUGUAGCGGUGAAAUGCGCAGAGAUAUGGAGGAACACCAGUGGCGAAGGCGACUUUCUGGUCUGUAACUGACGCUGAUGUGCGAAAGCGUGGGGAUCAAACAGG